CCUANGGGGGGCUGCAGUCGAGAAUCUUUCGCAAUGGGGGAAACCCUGACGACGCGACGCCGCGUGGAGGAUGAAGGCCUUCGGGUUGUAAACUCCUGUCAGCAGGGGAGAACAAGUUGCCGGUGAAUAAUCGGCGACUUUGACAGUACCUGCAGAGGAAGCCACGGCUAACUCUGUGCCAGCAGCCGCGGUAAUACAGAGGUGGCAAGCGUUGUUCGGAUUUAUUGGGCGUAAAGGGUCCGUAGGCGGCCUGGAAAGUCGGAUGUGAAAUCCCACAGCUUAACUGUGGAACUGCAUUCGAAACUUCUAGGCUCGAGUGUGAUAGGGGUAAAGGGAAUUCCCGGUGUAAGGGUGAAAUCUGCAGAGAUCGGGAGGAACACCAGUCGCGAAGGCGCUUUACUGGAUCACUACUGACGCUGAGGGACGAAAGCCAGGGGAGCAAACGGGAUUAGAUACCCGUNUANUC
RNAcentral lists this ribosomal RNA (466 nucleotides) under uncultured bacterium. RNAcentral's name for it is "bacterial SSU rRNA". It matches the Rfam family "Bacterial small subunit ribosomal RNA", at positions 338 to 795 of the family's 1533-position model. The record is from RNAcentral.